UCGAGGCCAUUUGUUUUCUUGAUAAGGUGGGAAAGAGAAGGCAGCACGGCUAUCGUUCAAGUUAUCCAACGUAGCUGUGUAGUCACGAAAGUACACGAAGGGUUUCGGGAAAUGACGUACUUCCGGGUGCGUCCGAGAUACACUUUCCCUUAUCUGAGGCUUCAAAGACUCGAUCAUUUCGUCCGUAAUCGUUUAAGGAAUUGGAAGUGUCCGCGUUUGUUACUUAGUUUUCGUGUGCCAAUAUAGGCUAAUCGGUGUGCGUUAGAAAUUGUGUGCGAUUUGGAGUUCUUAGUUAGCUCAGAACCGAGUUUUUCCAAUCCGCAGUUCUUCGCAUCCAAGCGCAACCACUUCUUCCCCCGACGGACGAGAAAUACCCGGCAUCCGUCAUACGGCUGGAAGCGGACGGAUCCGUUACCAUAUCGGUCCGAGAAGGCCCGGGGACCUUCAGGUGGACGAGGUCUUCCACCAGCUAGUUCGCCAAUUGACUAGCGGGCGCUGUCAAUAGCCCAGGAAGCGCUUUAGUGAAGCGUAAGUCAACCGCCAUUGCGAAGACGAGCCGAUCAACGAACGCCGCCAUCAAUCAACCAAACCGGCGCGGUGGUGAGAGCAACGACCCGGCCUACAGGUCAUCGACUACCAAGUAGUAAGCUGUACCGAUCGGUGAGUCAACCAAUUUCUUUUUUUUUGCGGAGUGCGGCGUCCGCUGAGGGCGCCGCGGAGGUUUUUUUUGUACCAGUCAAAGACUGAAGAAGUGCUGCUAAAGCCAACCAACAUCUUUUUCGGAGAUCGGAAUUCCUUCCGACAACGUCUUGGGAGCCUCCGGUUCCGUGAAAAUGCGUGCGUGAGCCGUCUUGCCACCACUGCAGAAAAAGUCGAACACCCGGAGCGCAGACAUCGACGCAGUCGAGCUUCGAUUCCAUGUGACGUCACGAAUGAGAGCACUGAGCACAGUUAGAUAGAGAAGGAGGAGCUAGGGAAUCGCACACCAGCUAGGAAGUGUAGAAGUAGAACGAACACAAACACACAGAAUGAUUUCAAACUCGAGUUGUAGCCAAUAAA
Aedes albopictus (Asian tiger mosquito) is the source of this 1059-nucleotide long non-coding RNA. RefSeq lists it as uncharacterized. NCBI's taxonomy places the organism in Eukaryota, Metazoa, Arthropoda, Insecta, Diptera, Culicidae. The transcript is spliced from 3 exons. The record is from RefSeq and is a predicted model, not a curated record.